RNAcentral lists this ribosomal RNA (422 nucleotides) under uncultured bacterium. RNAcentral describes it as "bacterial SSU rRNA". It matches the Rfam family "Bacterial small subunit ribosomal RNA", at positions 355 to 774 of the family's 1533-position model. The record is from RNAcentral.
UGAGGAAUAUUGGACAAUGGGCGCAAGCCUGAUCCAGCCAUGCCGCGUGCAGGAAGAAGCACCUAUGGUGUGUAAACUGCUUUUGUACGGGAAGAAACACUCCUUCGUGAAGGAGCUUGACUGUACCGUAAGAUUAAGGAUCGGCUAACUUCGUGCCAGCAGCCGCGGUAAUACGGAGGAUCCAAGCGUUAUCCGGAAACAUUGGGUUUAAAGGGUCCGUAGGCGGUUUAGUAAGUCAGUGGUGAAAGCCCAUCGCUCAACGAUGGAACGGCCAUUGAUACUGCUAGACUUGAAUUAUUAGGAAGUAACUAGAAUAUGUAGUGUAACGGUGAAAUGCUUAGAUAUUACAUGAAAUACCAAUUGCGAAGGCAGGUUACUACUAAUGGAUUGACGCUGAUGGACGAAAGCGUGGGGAGCGAACA